UACGGAAGGCAGCAGUGGGGAAUAUUGCACAAUGGGCGAAAGCCUGAUGCAGCUAUGCCGCGUGUAUGAAGAAGGCCUUAGGGUUGUAAAGUACUUUCAUCGGGGAGGAAAAACAAAACUAAUAAUUUUAUUUCUUGACGUUACCCGAAAAAGAAGCACCGGCUAACUCCGUGCCAGCAGCCGCGGUAAUACGGAGGGUGCUAGCGUUAAUCAGAAUUACUGGGCGUAAAGAGCACGUAGGUGGUUUUUUAAGUCAGAUGUGAAAUCCCUGGGCUUAACCUAGGAACUGCAUUUUGAAACUGAAAUACUAGAGUAUCGUAGAGGGAGGUAGAAAUUCUAGGUGUAGCGGUGAAAUGCGUAGAUAUCUGGAGGAAUACCUGUGGCGAAAGCGGCCUCCUAAACGAAUACUGACACUGAGGUGCGAAAGCGUGGGGAGCAAACAGGGAUUAGAUACC
Molecule: ribosomal RNA, 455 nt
Filed under: uncultured bacterium
Lineage: Bacteria
Description: bacterial SSU rRNA
Rfam family: Bacterial small subunit ribosomal RNA
Source: RNAcentral